RNAcentral lists this ribosomal RNA (564 nucleotides) under uncultured bacterium. RNAcentral describes it as "bacterial SSU rRNA". It matches the Rfam family "Bacterial small subunit ribosomal RNA", at positions 338 to 917 of the family's 1533-position model. The record is from RNAcentral.
CCUACGGGAGGCAGCAGUGGGGAAUCUUGCGCAAUGGGCGAAAGCCUGACGCAGCCAUGCCGCGUGAAUGAUGAAGGUCUUAGGAUUGUAAAAUUCUUUCACCGGGGACGAUAAUGACGGUACCCGGAGAAGAAGCCCCGGCUAACUUCGUGCCAGCAGCCGCGGUAAUACGAAGGGGGGCUAGCGUUGCUCGGAAUUACUGGGCGUAAAGGGAGCGUAGGCGGAUAGUUUAGUCAGAGGUGAAAGCCCAGGGCUCAACCUUGGAAUUGCCUUUGAUACUGGCUAUCUUGAGUAUGGGAGAGGUUAGCGGAACUCCGAGUGUAGAGGUGAAAUUCGUAGAUAUUCGGAAGAACACCAGUGGCGAAGGCGGCUAACUGGCCCAUUACUGACGCUGAGGCUCGAAAGCGUGGGGAGCAAACAGGAUUAGAUACCCUGGUAGUCCACGCCGUAAACGAUGAGUGCUAGUUGUCGGCAUGCAUGCAUGUCGGUGACGCAGCUAACGCAUUAAGCACUCCGCCUGGGGAGUACGGUCGCAAGAUUAAAACUCAAAAUGAAAUUGAACGG